UUCCUACGGGACGCAGCAGUGGGGAAUAUUGCACAAUGGGGGGAACCCUGAUGCAGCGACGCCGCGUGAAGGAAGAAGUAUUUCGGUAUGUAAACUUCUAUCAGCAGGGAAGAAAAUGACGGUACCUGACUAAGAAGCCCCGGCUAACUACGUGCCAGCAGCCGCGGUAAUACGUAGGGGGCAAGCGUUAUCCGGAUUUACUGGGUGUAAAGGGAGCGUAGGCGGCGAUGCAAGUCAGAAGUGAAAGCCCGGGGCUCAACUCCGGGACUGCUUUUGAAACUGUGCUGCUAGAUUGCAGGAGAGGU
This 305-nucleotide ribosomal RNA is filed under the name uncultured bacterium. RNAcentral's name for it is "bacterial SSU rRNA". It matches the Rfam family "Bacterial small subunit ribosomal RNA", at positions 336 to 658 of the family's 1533-position model. The record is from RNAcentral.